UAUAUGUAUUAAAUGCAUGUGCAAUAUAAAGCUUCGUAUCAGUGCUUUAUUGUUUUAUAUAUUUAUUGAAGAAAUAGAUAAAUUAAAAAGAUCUCGACAAUAAUUCUGUUACAACCACAAAUUUCCUCAUGGAGAUUAUACACCUUAAACUAUAUAUAUAUCCAUGCUAUAGAAUUAUCCUUAAAGAUAUUAAUAUUAAAGUGAAUUGAGUACAUUUAAUUGGUCUGGUUGGUUUAGUAGUUUAUGGAGAAGAGAGAGGACCCACAAAAUAACCGACCAUUCAGUGUUUACUAACAGGUGGAGGUGCGCCAAGCUUAAUCAUUUUAAUUUGUUACUUGUAAACCACUUAAUUCAAAUUUAUUCUAGGUGAUGAAUAGAGUAAGCUGAUGCCUCAAAAUGACCACCGUUGUGGUGUAGGCAUUGCAAGUGUAGUGGUUCAGAGGGUUGUUGUGAGGCUUGUGGCUCAUGAUGGCUUCUGCUGCCACAUUGGAGGGUGGCAGUUCUCCCACCAAUGAUGAGAUCAUAAUACUUCCUGUUGCUCAGCCUCGUGGAGGUGUCUCCACUGGUACAAGUCCCAUUCUGGUACAUGAUUCUACACGGCGGACUUCCGUCGGUACCUCUGUCAGCCCUGCAUCAAGGGGAACCACCCUACACCCACCCGAACUGCCAGGGGGUGCUCGAAGGACCAGGAGAAAUCUUGAUGAAGAGAAGAAGAUUGCACUUAGUCAACUGCAAGAGCUAGAAGCGGCCAUAAAGGUACGCAAAGUGACCAAGGUGGAUGGCCGCAAGAAUCGAUGGGUUGAGUACCGUGCUCGUAAACAGGCUGAAGAGGCAAAACAAGGAAAUUUGAACAUGAGAUAUGUGAUGAUAAAACAAUGUCCAGUUGCAAAUAAGAGAAAUAAAAGGGGGAAAAGGAGAUAUACUGGUAGCAAAAAAAGAGGACACAAAAAGAAUGAGGGUGUGGUGGAAGGCUUUACUGUGUAUGUGUGACAGGUUUUAAGUAAUGGAUAUGGGUAACAUGGGUUACCUUGCAGAGUGUACUGUAUAUGUGACAUUGGUUACUAUGUACUGUAUGUGUGUGACAUGUUAUUGUGUACCUGUACUGCAUGUGUGUGUGUGUGUGUGUGUGUUAAAGGUUAAUAUGUACUGUGCAUGUGUGACAUGUGUUAAUAUUUAUAUAUAUAUAUAUAUAUAUAUAUAUAUAUAUAUAUAUAUAUAUAUAUAUAUAUAUAUAUAUAUAUAUAUAUAUAUAUAUAUAUAUAUAUAUAUAUAUAUAUAUAUAUAUAUAUAUAUUAUAUACUGUGUUAUGUAUACGUGACAUACACUGUAGACCAGACUUAGGUUUCUGUAGACUAAGCUUAGUCCACAGUAUUUUGCAUCUGCACUGCCCCUAACAGGCUAUCAGGCCUAAAGGACCUACUCUAACUUUCUUGUGUAACGUGGAUUAAAAUAACUGUAUACAGUGUGAUGUUGAUUAAUACUGUAUAUGCAGUACUGUACUAUGUAUGUUUAAUAGUUGUUAAUAUCUUUCAUGUUUUCUGUGACAUGGAUUGAUAUAUUGUGUACAGUUUUGUGUAAUUGUGUGACAUACUGUAGGUUGGUAUGUACAAUACUGUGUGUAGCAUGGGUAAGUAUAUAUUUUAUAUGUGUAAUCUGCACUAAUAUAUACUGUGUAUGUGUGACAUGGAUUAAUGGUCAGUGUAUUGAAAAUGUGUGAUGGGUUAGUAAAUGAGUUUACAAAGAUGUAAUGUGACUUGUUAGAAGAAUAGGUUUAAUUUUGUAAGCACAAGAUUUUUCUCCUCUUAUUUACCAAAGAAGCCACUGGCAGCAAACUGUUUUUUUUUAGAGAGGAUAAGGUUCCCAAUUUUGUGAAGUGAUGUGUAGAAUAUAAUAAAUUUUGUAUUGUAAAUUUAGUUUUGUCAGUCCUCAUUUUCACUAAAUAUAAUGUAGUUCUUCAAAGUAGAGGGGUAAUACUAGGUUGUGUGAAGCAAGUGGGAUAACUCAAACUGAUAUUCUGGGGUCUUGUUGUAGAAGGAGAACACUAUAGCUGAGUACAUCUGUUACAGCAAUCCAAGAAUGAAUGACAGUGAAUGAUGUGAAAGACUGUGUUUACUGUUGAUUUUGGACAAUUUGCACUAAAUCAGGAAGAGGCUUGUAAGAGUGAGAAAAAGACCUAGACCACAAAUGAAGGAAUAUUACCCACCUAAAAGAAGAUGUACGGUUUCUUAACUAGAAAUUUUAUAAUUUUUUUUAGUUAUUCCUCACUAGUCUAUUUCUUGAUCAAUAAUAUCAAGAUGAUAAACAAAUAAAUGUGACCGAAAAACAA
RNAcentral lists this long non-coding RNA (2326 nucleotides) under Homarus americanus (American lobster). Its description in RNAcentral is "uncharacterized LOC121862319". Lineage: Eukaryota; Metazoa; Arthropoda; Malacostraca; Decapoda; Nephropidae. The record is from RNAcentral.